Molecule: small RNA, 173 nt
Organism: Dysgonomonas mossii DSM 22836
Lineage: Bacteria; Pseudomonadati; Bacteroidota; Bacteroidia; Bacteroidales; Dysgonomonadaceae
Rfam family: Bacteroidales-1 6S-Bacteroidales RNA suggested
Source: Rfam
AGUCGUGUUGGUCGAUUGGGAAGCUCAUCAAUUAAAAAAUGACCGAGACAAGCUUUUGAUUCUAAUGGCGGGCCACACCUUCGGGUUGCUUAGCGCGGUGGAUUACAAAGGGAUCGAAGCACUCAAAUCCUGUUUUACGGAGUUUCGGUAUAUCCACCAAUACGACUUUCUAU